GGACAUCUUUGGAGGCCAUUAUGCUGUGUGCUGUCCACCUCAAUUGCUGUGGUAGUAGGCAUCGCCUUAAUUCAUAAGCAUAUGCUCAGCAUGUACUCUGCGAAAGCCAGAGGCCUUCCACCACAGCCCAGUCCAUUCCAGCCAAGAAAAGAAUCAAUGUUUCUGAUUCUCCUGUGUGAUCCCAGUCACAGCUUUAACCAGAGGUCCCUGUGCAGGUGGAAGGAGAAGACUGCUUUUGAUUCUUCCAGACAGAGGCUGUGGCUCCUUCCUGGUCCAUGUGCUUCCGUCCUUUGAAAGCUUGCUUUGAUGCCCUUGGACCAGAGCAGCCUAUAAAGAUAUGCUUGGACUUAAAGCACAAUUGCUUCUUCCUAGACAUGAGCUUUGGAGAAUUGAGUAACCUCGAGCUGGAAAGCAGUACACUUUGAAGCUUUAGAUCUUGUGUUAUUGUGAAGUCCAACUCUGGGAGCCAGUGUAACAUACUGAUUUCAGACCUGAGCACUGGGCGGGAGGUAUCUCAUGGUAAGAGAACAAGACCUGGGUUUAUAUUAUAAAUUUAAAACCUGAAAAAGAAAAGUAAUGAAGACCAUUGGCACACUUGGAAGAGAGACCUAAAGCUCCGAGUUAAAUAGUGAAUAGGAGAGCACAUCAGUGAAAGAUUCACUGUUUAAAAAAUAUCAACUUACUACAGUGGGCUGAAUAAUAGCCCCUCAAGAUACUGUACCAGGUGGGAAUCCCUGGAAACUGUAAAUUUUACUAUAUAUUGAAAAGUAUCUUUGCAGAUGCUGUUAAAUUAAGGAUCUUGAGAUGGUGAGAUUAUCCUGCAUUAUUCAACAUGCCCUAACUGUGAUCACCAUGCAAUUUUUGUAAGUGGGAAACAGAGGGAGAGCGGACACUCACAGAAGAAGAGGAAAAAGUCAUGAGGCCAUGGAGGCAGAGACUGGAAUGAUGUGACCACAAGUUAGGAGUUGCCAGCCAGAAGCCACCAGAAGCCAACUGUGGCAAGAGACAGAUUCUCCCCUGGAGCCUUUGGAGGGAGCAUGGCCCUGCUGGCACUGUGGUUUUCACUCAGUGAUAUUAAUUUUGGACUUUGGGUUUCCAGAACAGUAAGAGAAUAAAUUUUUGCUGUUUUAAGCCACUAAGUUGGUGGUAACCUCUUACAGUAGCCACAGGAAACUUAUACACAUGCCUAACCUGAACCUAAUGAGUUAGAUCGCUUCAAGGAAACAAACACAAGAAACAGGCUUUGUCAGAGGGAAAUUGGAAAGGCAGAUGAGAAGAUGAAGACAAUUUCCAUGGUUUACUCUGUGUAUUUCCUAUCAUUCAAAGGUUUUACAAGAGAAUCAAUUCAUGUACUAUUUUUUAAAUGAGAAAAAUAAUUUAAUAUGUCUCUUCAAUUUAGUAAUGACUUCAGAACCUCGAAGGAUUUUCCUAGCAUAUUUCCAAGAUUCAGUCUUGAUUAUUUGAGAUUGACAUGAAGAAGGACUGGACUCUUCCACAACAUAGCAUUAGAUAACAUGAUAUCAUAAUCAGACAACAAUGUUAGACUGUGAUGGACCAGGUGAAUCUUGCCCAACGUGGCAAUUUUAUUGUCAAAUAUUUAUUUCAGGUUUCUAACACUCGCGCAAAUUCCUCCCUUCUUUGAUUCCCUCCUCCUGCAACUAUCAAAGAACUGUGCUACAGACCACGUGGGAUAUAAAGAACAUUUACUCAGCUCUUGCUUUCAAGAAAAUUACAUAUUGGCUCAGGAGAUGAGAUAAAUGAAAAGGAAGCAGAUGAUCUGUUACAGAAGAGAUAACACCAUAAGCCCAACAUGUAUGUGAUUAAGUUCUAAAAGUGUCAACCAUAGGAAGUGUUGUGAGGUGUCAUUACUGAUGCAGAUUACAACAGAGCUGACCUUGCAAGUGUAAACAAAACAGAAUUCUGCUGAACUCUUCUUGGACCAGUUGUUCUGAAUGCUUGCUGCAGUUUUGGUUCCCACCAUUCUCAAAUUCCAACUGUGAGAUGAACUGGCAAAUGUUUAUCCUUGACAUAAGUAGUGUGAAAGGAGUCCUACCAAGUGAUUUUGCCAAUGGCUGCCAUUCCUGCCACAAACACUGGUGUGUUCAGCAGGAGCUGUGACAUGUCCACACUCACCUGUCUCUCAGGAAUGCUCUUUUGAAAUGCAGUGUGCUCAGGAUCACAUAGCUAGUGAGAGGCAGUCAGAAGGUGAACCUAGCCUUCUUUUCCCAAUCCCCACAGGCUUAGCCAUUACCUUUGGACCUACUAUAUACGCCUGUUAAGUACCACUCUCUACCAGGCAUUCUGUGAAGCACCUUCACAUGCAUUAUUUCAUU
This 2333-nucleotide long non-coding RNA is filed under the name Heterocephalus glaber (naked mole-rat). RNAcentral's name for it is "lncRNA (ENSHGLG00000029355.2)". Lineage: Eukaryota; Metazoa; Chordata; Mammalia; Rodentia; Bathyergidae. The record is from RNAcentral.